UUAUAUAGUGUUUGUAGGUCACCUCCACUAAAAUGCAACCACUUCCGAUCAUCUCCGUUGAAAUCUGGUCACCUCUACUGAAAUCCGGCCAUCUCCACUAGAAUCUGGUCACCUCAGUAGCAGCGUCGCACUGCAUGCACUCCUCAGCAGCAGCGCCCCACGCAACAGCGGCGGCUGCACGAUCGCAGCAGUAGCGGCUGCACUGCAAUGCAUCAUAUUAAAAAAUUAUGGCCGAUUAAUACUGUUUAGGAACAAUUCCCAUACGGAGAGAUAUAUGAUUUGGUCUUGUCAACCCUUAUCAAUAUGUUAAACAAGACGAUCAGCACGUUACAAACUGAGAGGAAGAAACUGCAAGAAGUUCUUCAAGCUGCUUCGUACAAGAAGGAAUUGGAUUCCGCGAGGAGUAAAAUUAAGGAGCUUCAGAGACAGUUUCAACUUGAAGCGAAUCAGACGAAAGGGCAGCUGUUGUUGUUAAAGCAACAAGUCGGAAUUCUUCAAAAGAAAGAAAAAGAUGCAGUCAGAAAAGAUAUUGAUAUUGAUAAAAAGCUAAAAACUUUAGAGGAGUUAGAAGUGGAUGUUGUGGAGCUUAAGCAGAAGAACCGAGAGCUUUAGCAUGAGAUGAAAGAGUUAGUUAUUAAGCUCGAUGCAGCUGAGGCUAGAAUCGCGACAUUAUCCAGUACUACCGAGAUGGAAAUGGUGGUGAAUGUUAGAGAAUGAGUAACACAAACUCCUGAAGUUAAGGAAUGAGUAACACAAACUCCUGACGCUUCCGCCAAUCAUUCUACUGACGGAAGUGCACUUGGUUCUUCAACGCUUUUAUGCACUAGAUCAAGACUACAAGAACCGUUCAGUUGGAAAACCUUUGUGAUUUUAUUCAAACUGAAACAUCCUACAACGUACCGUCUAAGGCAACCACUUCAUCUAUAUCUAUGAAGAACACAACUCUCAAACCAGAAUAGAAUAACGGAGAGUUGACAUCAUGUAAAGCAUGGGAGGAAUAGAGAUAACAAGAUUCAUGGAUCGCUUGGAGCUAAUUUUUUUAUAGUAAUAUUCCUACCUGAAGACUUAUGUUGUAAAUAUUUGGAAUAUGUUAUGUAUUGAACUUAUAGUUGAAAUUAUGAUAUUAUAAUUUCUACAUUUUAUA
Helianthus annuus (common sunflower) is the source of this 1144-nucleotide long non-coding RNA. RefSeq lists it as uncharacterized. The transcript has 4 exons. The record is from RefSeq and is a predicted model, not a curated record. NCBI's taxonomy places the organism in Eukaryota, Viridiplantae, Streptophyta, Magnoliopsida, Asterales, Asteraceae.